This 469-nucleotide ribosomal RNA is filed under the name uncultured bacterium. Its description in RNAcentral is "partial 16S ribosomal RNA". It matches the Rfam family "Bacterial small subunit ribosomal RNA", at positions 28 to 507 of the family's 1533-position model. The record is from RNAcentral.
AACGAACGUUGGCGGCGUGGAUUAGGCAUGCAAGUCGAACGCAAAUCCCUGGGCAACUGGGGAGGAGAGUGGCGAAAGGGGCAGUAAGGCGUGGGUAACCUACCCUCCGGGCCGGGAUAGCUUCGGGAAACUGAAGGUAAUACCGGGCGACGCAGCGAGAUCGCAUGGUCUUGCUGCACAAGGUCCGCCGCCGGGGGAGGGGCUUACGUGGUAUUAGCUAGACGGCGGGGUAACGGCCCACCGUGGCAAAGAUGCCUAGCAGGUGUGAGAGCACGACCUGCGCCACUGGCACUGAGACAGUGGCCAGACACCGACGGGUGGCUGCAGUCGAGGAUCUUCGGCAAUGGGCGCAAGCCUGACCGAGCGACGCCGCGUGUGCGAUGAAGGCCUUCGGGUUGUAAAGCACUGUCGAGGGGGAGGAAGCCGCAAGGUUGACCUAUCCCUGGAGGAAGCACGGGCUAAGUUCGUG